GGAUUAGAUACCCUGGUAGUCCACGCUGUAAACGAUGAUCACUAGGUGUUCGGAUUUCGGUCUGAGUGCCCAAGCGAAAGCGAUAAGUGAUCCACCUGGGGAGUACGUUGGCAACAAUGAAACUCAAAGGAAUUGACGGGGGCCCGCACAAGCGGUGGAGCAUGUGGUUUAAUUCGAUGAUACGCGAGGAACCUUACCUGGGCUAUAAUGCCUCUGACAGUUCGUGAAAGCGGAUUUUCCUACGGGACAGAGUGCAAGGUGCUGCAUGGUUGUCGUCAGCUCGUGUUG
RNAcentral lists this ribosomal RNA (288 nucleotides) under uncultured bacterium. RNAcentral's name for it is "partial 16S ribosomal RNA". It matches the Rfam family "Bacterial small subunit ribosomal RNA", at positions 775 to 1067 of the family's 1533-position model. The record is from RNAcentral.